CAGCAAUGAAAACAUCCAACAACUAGAAGGGUUUGCAAACACGCCAAGACUUCGACACCACCCCCAAGUCAUACUUUCGUGAUUGAUUUGCACAAUGGGCAAGUUCAAGGAUUUCAUCUUGAAGCACCUUGGCAAGAGCAACGAGGCGAAAGCUCUUUACCAGUUCCUGCAGGAGAACGAACUCAACGACUUCGAGAGCUUGUCUCUUUUGGAAUCCGCUAAUCUCCCACAGGACAGUCCUCUCAAACUUAGAUUGAAACUUAUGCUUCUUAAAGAGUUCAUCUAUCUUGAUGGAGAUUACAGGUCUUCGCCAUCGCUCACGGAUAUUCGUAAGCAAGUGGCCAGUGCGCAGUUGAAAAAGUGUCUGAUUUCUGAACUCGGGAAUGAUCUGAAUGAUCACGACAAAGAGGUCCUGAACGCGAUGAAAAAGCAAUUUGCUGCGCAGCUCAAUCCCUACGAAACGAUUAGCGAGUCCCACUUCUCGCAACAAGAUUCGGAAGAUACUCGAAAUAAGUCGAUCACUUACUAUGGCUUGCAAUCGGAGAAGCACUGUCAAGUUCUUGGCCCGAAUCAACCCGAACAAGUCAAGAUUGUAAACGCACACAUUUGGCAUCGUUGUGCAACUGCUCAAAUUGUCGUCUUAGAUUUGGAAAAGAGGCAAAUUCACGAGCCCAGAAAUGUUCUCCGACUGCACCAGUGUCUUGAACGUGCGUUUGACAAGAGAGAAAUAACAUUUGUUCAAGGCGAUUCGCCGAACGAAUUCAACCUGAAGCUUCUCAACGAGGGCCUAAGGGAUACCAAGCUCAAGGGCACGAAUGUCACGUUUGGAGAUGUGGAAGGACGUUCGUUGCAAAUACAAAAAGAGGGAAGUCUGCCGUUUAGACGACUCAUAGGUCAUCAUGCUCUUCUUAGUCAUCGUUAUGCGAAAGAACAGGGCUGGAUUGAAUCAAC
This 951-nucleotide ribosomal RNA is filed under the name Thalassionema nitzschioides. RNAcentral's name for it is "partial Eukaryotic small subunit ribosomal RNA". Lineage: Eukaryota; Bacillariophyta; Fragilariophyceae; Thalassionematales; Thalassionemataceae. The record is from RNAcentral.